CAGUUUUGCACAGACAUCUGGAAAGUUUGAUCUGGGAGAGACCACAUCACAGAAAAAUUGUUACUGUCUGAGGGGACACUGGUGAUAAAAACCUUAAAACUCAUAUCUUAACUAAAUCUUAUAUGUGCUCAACCUGCCACCUUUUUUGUCAUCACUGGAGUGAAUAGUCUAAUGUGUGCCUAUGAAAUAUUACACCAGACACAAGGUAGAAGCCCUGAAUUUUAGCUGGCAUGUGGCCAUCCAGAAUAACGGUUUCAUUUCACAGUCUCCCUUGCAGUUAUUAAGCCGUGGGAAAACACCUGCAAGUGUAAACCAUGUCAAGUGUUUAGAACAGUGCCUGCACACAAGCCAUGACCAAAAAAUGUUCAAACUUAUAGCCACGCUCUGGUGCCCUCAAGAAGUUUGUUUAGAGGGCAAAAGUAGAAGAAGAGCAGCAGCUGCCGGGGCCUCAUGUGAACUUGGACAAGGGACAUCUCUGCACCACGCUAUUCAGAAAGAAGCCCAGAGGAGUCUUCCAGAUGUGCUGACCCUGGGCUUCUGCACCACUGCAACACCUGUAUGGAGUAAGGAAUCCCCCAGCUAUAACGAGGGAAGAUCUCUGCCUUCCAAGGGGAUGAGAGUUCAGACAGGGCGUGCGCUUCACCUUCCUCUCUGCUCCGUUUGGUUUGUGGGCUUGGAAUUUCCUUUUUCAAUAACUCCCAAGUCUAUCUGACCCACUUCUGUUGUUUCAUUCAUAGCAGAGAGAGACAUCCACAGGUAUUUUUCUCUCUCUAUAUAUGCAUGCAUUCAGUUAUUUUAACCUGCCUUUUCCCACAGAGGGUUUUAGACAAUGUAGACAAUUUGCUUGGGAAUAUUAUCAUUUCAAUGAUAAUCUCCUUUCCACACUGAACAAUAAAAUAUGGCUCCAACAAUAUUGUGGACCAACUGAUUUGAAACAAGAGCUAAAUUUAAGUUUAUCCAUUGUUAAAGACAAAUAGUCUAUUUAAAAAUUAAGAAUAUAGCAGAUGUGGAUUGGAUAUUUGAUAUUUUCAUGAGCCAACGUGAUGCAGCAGAAAAUGAACUUGAGCUCUGAAGCAUACCUGAGAUUCAGCCCUAGCUUUUCGUAAUGCUAUCUGCAUAAUAUUGGGCAGGUUGCGUAGUUUACUUUCACCUCUGCUGCGUAGGGUUGUUGUGAGGACUGACUGUAAAUGUGGGGUGAAGCACUUGAACAGGGCCUGGCACAGACUUGCUGUUUAAUGUUUAAUAACACUAGCUGGUUUGCUUGCAACUAGGCAGUCCUGCUUUCAAGAACUUAGAAUAGACCCAGGUGAGGCAAACAAUCGAUAUGUUCAUAGCAAGUCACGAUCUUUGGUUCAUUUGACUCCUAAGAAUCCCUAACAGAAUGCAUCUUAGUGUUGUUGCUACGUGUAUCCAGAGAAAUAAACCUAUAAUUCCUUGGGAUGUUUUAUGAUUCAAAUGAUUUACUACUUCAAAUUGGUAUU
This 1481-nucleotide long non-coding RNA is filed under the name Equus asinus (donkey). Its description in RNAcentral is "lncRNA (ENSEASG00005034107.1)". The record is from RNAcentral. Lineage: Eukaryota; Metazoa; Chordata; Mammalia; Perissodactyla; Equidae.